GAUGAACGCUGGCGGCGUGCCUAAUACAUGCAAGUCGAGCGAACAGACGAGGAGCUUGCUCCUCUGACGUUAGCGGCGGACGGGUGAGUAACACGUGGAUAACCUACCUAUAAGACUGGGAUAACUUCGGGAAACCGGAGCUAAUACCGGAUAAUAUAUUGAACCGCAUGGUUCAAUAGUGAAAGACGGUUUUGCUGUCACUUAUAGAUGGAUCCGCGCCGCAUUAGCUAGUUGGUAAGGUAACGGCUUACCAAGGCAACGAUGCGUAGCCGACCUGAGAGGGUGAUCGGCCACACUGGAACUGAGACACGGUCCAGACUCCUACGGGAGGCAGCAGUAGGGAAUCUUCCGCAAUGGGCGAAAGCCUGACGGAGCAACGCCGCGUGAAUGAUGAAGGUCUUCGGAUCGUAAAACUCUGUUAUCAGGGAAGAACAAAUGUGUAAGUAACUAUGCACGUCUUGACGGUACCUAAUCAGAAAGCCACGGCUAACUACGUG
This 497-nucleotide ribosomal RNA is filed under the name uncultured bacterium. Its description in RNAcentral is "partial 16S ribosomal RNA". It matches the Rfam family "Bacterial small subunit ribosomal RNA", at positions 28 to 507 of the family's 1533-position model. The record is from RNAcentral.